UAACAUGAGAGUUUGAUCCUGGCUCAGGAUGAACGCUGGCGGCGUGCUUAACACAUGCAAGUCGAACGAAGCAACUUAUCACGAUCCCUUCGGGGGUGACGAUUUGUUGACUGAGUGGCGGACGGGUGAGUAACGCGUGGGUAACCUGCCUUGUACAGGGGGACAACAGUUGGAAACGACUGCUAAUACCGCAUAAGCGCACAGCUUCGCAUGAUGUAGUGUGAAAAGUUUUUUCGGUACAAGAUGGACCCGCGUCUGAUUAGCUAGUUGGUGAGGUAACGGCCCACCAAGGCGACGAUCAGUAGCCGACCUGAGAGGGUGACCGGCCACAUUGGGACUGAGACACGGCCCAAACUCCUACGGGAGGCAGCAGUGGGGAAUAUUGCACAAUGGGCGCAAGCCUGAUGCAGCGACGCCGCGUGAGCGAAGAAGUAUUUCGGU
Pseudobutyrivibrio xylanivorans DSM 14809 is the source of this 441-nucleotide ribosomal RNA. It matches the Rfam family "Bacterial small subunit ribosomal RNA", at positions 1 to 422 of the family's 1533-position model. Lineage: Bacteria; Bacillati; Bacillota; Clostridia; Lachnospirales; Lachnospiraceae. The record is from Rfam.